RNAcentral lists this ribosomal RNA (253 nucleotides) under uncultured bacterium. RNAcentral describes it as "partial 16S ribosomal RNA". It matches the Rfam family "Bacterial small subunit ribosomal RNA", at positions 524 to 776 of the family's 1533-position model. The record is from RNAcentral.
UACGAAGGGGGCUAGCGUUGUUCGGAAUUACUGGGCGUAAAGCGCACAUAGGCGGCGCAGCAAGUUAGAUGUGAAAUGCCUGGGCUUAACCUAGGAACUGCAUUUAAGACUGCUGUGCUAGAGACCGGGAGAGGGUGGCGGAAUUCCCAGUGUAGAGGUGAAAUUCGUAGAUAUUGGGAAGAACACCGGUUGCGAAGGCGGCCACCUGGACCGGCACUGACGCUGAGGUGCGAAAGCGUGGGGAGCAAACAGG